This 296-nucleotide ribosomal RNA is filed under the name Clostridioides difficile. RNAcentral describes it as "partial 23S ribosomal RNA". It matches the Rfam family "Bacterial large subunit ribosomal RNA", at positions 1781 to 2076 of the family's 2925-position model. The record is from RNAcentral. Lineage: Bacteria; Bacillati; Bacillota; Clostridia; Peptostreptococcales; Peptostreptococcaceae.
AGAGAAUAGGCCCAAGCGACUGUUUACCAAAAACAUAGGUUUCUGCUAAGUCGCAAGACGAUGUAUAGGAGCUGACGCCUGCCCGGUGCUGGAAGGGUAAGGGGAUCUGUUAGAGCAAUCGAAGCAGUGAACUUAAGCCCCAGUAAACGGCGGCCGUAACUAUAACGGUCCUAAGGUAGCGAAAUUCCUUGUCGGGGAAGUUCCGACCCGCACGAAAGGCGUAACGAUUUGGGCACUGUCUCAACAACAGACUCGGUGAAAUUGUAAUUCCGGUGAAGAUGCCGGAUACCUGCGAC